UCCCUGGUGGUCUAGUGGUUAAGACUUGGCAUUUUCACCACAGUGGCCCGGGUUCCAUCCCUGGUCAGGGAA
This 72-nucleotide transfer RNA is filed under the name Sus scrofa (pig). It matches the Rfam family "tRNA". Rfam says of the family: Transfer RNA (tRNA) molecules are approximately 80 nucleotides in length. The record is from Rfam by way of RNAcentral. Lineage: Eukaryota; Metazoa; Chordata; Mammalia; Artiodactyla; Suidae.